This 535-nucleotide ribosomal RNA is filed under the name uncultured Thermoplasmatales archaeon. RNAcentral's name for it is "bacterial SSU rRNA". It matches the Rfam family "Archaeal small subunit ribosomal RNA", at positions 339 to 875 of the family's 1478-position model. The record is from RNAcentral. Lineage: Archaea; Methanobacteriati; Thermoplasmatota; Thermoplasmata; Thermoplasmatales.
GCGCGAAAACUUCGCAAUGUGGGAAACCACGACGAGGGAAUCCCAAGUGCCAACGAUUUUUCGUUGGCUGUUGCCCUGUCUAAAAAACAGGGAGAGUAAGGGCUGGGUAAGACGGGUGCCAGCCGCCGCGGUAAUACCCGCGGCCCAAGUGGUGCUCGUUAUUAUUGGGUUUAAAACGUCCGUAGCCGGUCCGGUAAAUUCUUGGGUAAAUCGACUGGCCUAACCAGUCGAAUUCCGGGGAGACUGCCGGACUCGGGACCGGGGGAGGUCGGAGGUACUUCCAGGGUAGGGGUGAAAUCCUGUAAUCCUGGGGGGACCACCAGUGGCGAAGGCGUCCGACCAGAACGGCUCCGACGGUAAGGGACGAAGCCCUGGGGCGCAAACGGGAUUAGAUACCCCGGUAGUCCAGGGUGUAAACGCUGCGGGCUUGGUGUCGGGGGUCCUAUGAGGGCGCUCGGUGCCGGAGUGAAAAUGUUAAGCCUGCUACCUGGGGAGUACGGUCGCAAGACUGAAACUUAAAGGAAUUGGCGGGGGA